UUAUGGAGAGUUUGAUCCUGGCUCAGGAUGAACGCUGGCGGCGUGCCUAAUACAUGCAAGUCGAGCGAACAGACGAGGAGCUUGCUCCUCUGACGUUAGCGGCGGACGGGUGAGUAACACGUGGGUAACCUACCUAUAAGACUGGGAUAACUCCGGGAAACCGGGGCUAAUACCGGAUAACACAUGAAACCGCAUGGUUUCAUGAUGAAAGACGGUUUUGCUGUCACUUAUAGAUGGACC
This 240-nucleotide ribosomal RNA is filed under the name Staphylococcus nepalensis. RNAcentral's name for it is "partial 16S ribosomal RNA". It matches the Rfam family "Bacterial small subunit ribosomal RNA", at positions 1 to 231 of the family's 1533-position model. Lineage: Bacteria; Bacillati; Bacillota; Bacilli; Caryophanales; Staphylococcaceae. The record is from RNAcentral.